UGUGUCUGUGAUGAUGAUCUGGCUCCCUCUACUGACUAAUAUGAGGACAUUGCCACUGUUACCCAAUUCCAUGUCUGAGAUGCA
Small nucleolar RNA from Gadus morhua (Atlantic cod), 84 nucleotides. Ensembl annotates it as small nucleolar RNA SNORD100. NCBI's taxonomy places the organism in Eukaryota, Metazoa, Chordata, Actinopteri, Gadiformes, Gadidae. The record is from Ensembl.